CCUUCCCCUAGAAGCAUUGCAGAUUCGGCUGCUGUGUCUCAUGUGUGUGAAUAGGUGGCAGAGAGGAGAGAAUCUGUGUCUACACUUAGUGUUUCAACCUGUGACUAUCUGAAUGAUUCGUAGCCUAGAAUU
This is a small nucleolar RNA of Arvicanthis niloticus (Nile rat), 132 nucleotides long. RefSeq annotates it as small nucleolar RNA SNORA17. NCBI's taxonomy places the organism in Eukaryota, Metazoa, Chordata, Mammalia, Rodentia, Muridae. The record is from RefSeq and is a predicted model, not a curated record.